This 301-nucleotide ribosomal RNA is filed under the name uncultured bacterium. RNAcentral's name for it is "partial 16S ribosomal RNA". It matches the Rfam family "Bacterial small subunit ribosomal RNA", at positions 509 to 807 of the family's 1533-position model. The record is from RNAcentral.
CAGUCGCCGCGGUAACACGAAGGGGGCUAGCGUUGUUCGGAAUUACUGGGCGUAAAGCGCACGUAGGCGGAUAUUUAAGUCAGGGGUGAAAUCCCAGAGCUCAACUCUGGAACUGCCUUUGAUACUGAAAGUCUUGAGUAUGGGAGAGGUGAGUGGAACUGCGAGUGUAGAGGUGAAAUUCGUAGAUAUUCGCAAGAACACCAGUGGCGAAGGCGGCUCACUGGCCCAUAACUGACGCUGAGGCACGAAAGCGUGGGGAGCAAACAGGAUUAGAUACCCGAGUAGUCCCUGUCUCUUAUAC